UGGCUCAGAUUGAACGCUGGCGGCAGGCCUAACACAUGCAAGUCGAGCGGCAGCGACUUAACUGAACCUUCGGGGAACGUUAAGGGCGGCGAGCGGCGGACGGGUGAGUAAUCCCUGGGAAUAUGCCCUGAUGUGGGGGAUAACUAUUGGAAACGAUAGCUAAUACCGCAUAAUCUCUUCGGAGCAAAGAGGGGGACCUUCGGGCCUCUCGCGUCAGGAUUAGCCCAGGUGGGAUUAGCUUGUUGGUGAGGUAAUGGCUCACCAAGGCAACGAUCCCUAGCUGGUCUGAGAGGAUGAUCAGCCACACUGGAACUGAGACACGGUCCAGACUCCUACGGGAGGCAGCAGUGGGGAAUAUUGCACAAUGGGGGAAACCCUGAUGCAGCCAUGCCGCGUGUGUGAAGAAGGCCUUCGGGUUGUGAAGCACUUUCAGUAGGGAGGAAGGUAGUGUAGUUAACACCUGCAUUAUUGACGUACCUACAG
Molecule: ribosomal RNA, 483 nt
Filed under: Photobacterium damselae subsp. damselae
Lineage: Bacteria; Pseudomonadati; Pseudomonadota; Gammaproteobacteria; Vibrionales; Vibrionaceae
Description: bacterial SSU rRNA
Rfam family: Bacterial small subunit ribosomal RNA
Source: RNAcentral